UCAGGCAGCUUCCCUCGUUUCCUCGACCAGGUCCAAGUUGUUCCGGAGCUGCGAGGAGUUGGAGCCAUCGUCGUAGUGUUCUGUCCUCGGAGAAGGGAGUCCGAUUUCCAGUAGAAUGACGGCUUCCGUUCCGUAUGUCAGGUUGAAGGGAGUUUCGUCGGUAGGGACACGGAAUGUAGUUUGAUAUGCCCAGAGGACAUUGUACAGGUCUUCGACCCACUGUCCCUUGGACUGGUCGAGCCUGGCUUUGAGUCCCUGCAAAAUAGUUCGAUUCGUUACCUCGGUUUUCUCCGUUUGUCUGAGGGUGCGCAAGUGAGGUGAACCGAUGGUCGAUGCCGAGGUCGGAGCAGAACUCUCUAAAGCGAACGUUGUCGAACUGGCGACCGUUGUCGGAUAUGAGGACGCGGGGAAGUCCGAAUCUGCAAAUUAUCGACUUUCAAAUGAAGUCCUGCAUCUUUUGCUCGGUGAUCCGGACGACCGGCUCGGCCCGACCCAUUUUGUGAAGUAGUCGAUGGAGACGACCAAAAAUUUAUUCUGCCCGGUGGCCUGGAGGAAUAGCCCCAGGAUGUCAAUCCCCCAUUGGGUGAAAGACCAGGGGGAGCCAAUCGAGGUCAAAGGGGCAGAGGGUCAGCGUUGGAUGCUAGAGUACCUUUGGCAUCGAUCGCAUCUCCGGACGAAGUCCAG
RNAcentral lists this long non-coding RNA (684 nucleotides) under Phoenix dactylifera (date palm). RNAcentral's name for it is "long non-coding RNA (PDAC_LNC019481)". Lineage: Eukaryota; Viridiplantae; Streptophyta; Magnoliopsida; Arecales; Arecaceae. The record is from RNAcentral.